RNAcentral lists this ribosomal RNA (476 nucleotides) under uncultured bacterium. Its description in RNAcentral is "bacterial SSU rRNA". It matches the Rfam family "Bacterial small subunit ribosomal RNA", at positions 28 to 474 of the family's 1533-position model. The record is from RNAcentral.
GACGAACGCUGGCGGCGUGCUUAACACAUGCAAGUCGAACGAAGAGCGAUGGAAGCUUGCUUCUAUCAAUCUUAGUGGCGAACGGGUGAGUAACGCGUAAUCAACCUGCCCUUCAGAGGGGGACAACAGUUGGAAACGACUGCUAAUACCGCAUACGAUCUAACCUCGGCAUCGAGGAAAGAUGAAAGGUGGCCUCUAUUUAUAAGCUAUCACUGAAGGAGGGGAUUGCGUCUGAUUAGCUAGUUGGAGGGGUAACGGCCUACCAAGGCGAUGAUCAGUAGCCGGUCUGAGAGGAUGAACGGCCACAUUGGGACUGAGACACGGCCCAGACUCCUACGGGAGGCAGCAGUGGGGAAUCUUCCGCAAUGGACGAAAGUCUGACGGAGCAACGCCGCGUGAGUGAUGACGGCCUUCGGGUUGUAAAGCUCUGUUAAUCGGGACGAAAGGCCUUCUUGCGAACAGUNAGAAGGAUGACG